Molecule: ribosomal RNA, 417 nt
Filed under: bacterium S7A-232-16S
Lineage: Bacteria
Description: bacterial SSU rRNA
Rfam family: Bacterial small subunit ribosomal RNA
Source: RNAcentral
ACCACUUCGGUGGGGAUUAGUGGCGAACGGGUGAGUAACACGUGGGCAAUCUGCCCUUCACUCUGGGACAAGCCCUGGAAACGGGGUCUAAUACCGGAUAACACUCCCGCACUCAUGUGCGGGGGUUAAAAGCUCCGGCGGUGAAGGAUGAGCCCGCGGCCUAUCAGCUUGUUGGUGAGGUAAUGGCUCACCAAGGCGACGACGGGUAGCCGGCCUGAGAGGGCGACCGGCCACACUGGGACUGAGACACGGCCCAGACUCCUACGGGAGGCAGCAGUGGGGAAUAUUGCACAAUGGGCGAAAGCCUGAUGCAGCGACGCCGCGUGAGGGAUGACGGCCUUCGGGUUGUAAACCUCUUUCAGCAGGGAAGAAGCGAAAGUGACGGUACCUGCAGAAGAAGCGCCGGCUAACUACGUG